This 435-nucleotide ribosomal RNA is filed under the name uncultured bacterium. Its description in RNAcentral is "partial 16S ribosomal RNA". It matches the Rfam family "Bacterial small subunit ribosomal RNA", at positions 27 to 507 of the family's 1533-position model. The record is from RNAcentral.
GAGCGAACGCUGGCGGCAGGCCUACCCCAUGCAAGUCGAACGAACCUUUCGGGGUUAGUGGCGGACGGGUGAGUAACACGUGGGAACGUGCCUUUAGGUUCGGAAUAACUCAGGGAAACUUGUGCUAAUACCGAAUGUGCCCUUCGGGGGAAAGAUUUAUCGCCUUUAGAGCGGCCCGCGUCUGAUUAGCUAGUUGGUUGAGGUAAUGGCUCACCAAGGCGACGAUCAGUAGCUGGUCUGAGAGGAUGAUCAGCCACAUUGGGACUGAGACACGGCCCAAACUCCUACGGGAGGCAGCAGUGGGGAAUCUUGCGCAAUGGGCGAAAGCCUGACGCAGCCAUGCCGCGUGAAUGAUGAAGGUCUUAGGAUUGUAAAAUUCUUUCACCGGGGACGAUAAUGACGGUACCCGGAGAAGAAGCCCCGGCUAACUUCGUG